Molecule: ribosomal RNA, 253 nt
Filed under: uncultured bacterium
Lineage: Bacteria
Description: partial 16S ribosomal RNA
Rfam family: Bacterial small subunit ribosomal RNA
Source: RNAcentral
UACGAAGGGGGCUAGCGUUGCUCGGAAUCACUGGGCGUAAAGGGUGCGUAGGCGGGUUUUUAAGUCAGGGGUGAAAUCCUGGAGCUCAACUCCAGAACUGCCUUUGAUACUGAGGAUCUUGAGUUCGGGAGAGGUGAGUGGAACUGCGAGUGUAGAGGUGAAAUUCGUAGAUAUUCGCAAGAACACCAGUGGCGAAGGCGGCUCACUGGCCCGAUACUGACGCUGAGGAGCGAAAGCGUGGGGAGCGAACAGG